This 1753-nucleotide ribosomal RNA is filed under the name Crocinitomix catalasitica ATCC 23190. RNAcentral's name for it is "bacterial LSU rRNA". It matches the Rfam family "Bacterial large subunit ribosomal RNA", at positions 363 to 2120 of the family's 2925-position model. Lineage: Bacteria; Pseudomonadati; Bacteroidota; Flavobacteriia; Flavobacteriales; Crocinitomicaceae. The record is from RNAcentral.
GGUGAUAGUCCCGUACAUGAAAUAGUUUUUAUACCUAGUAGUAUCCUGAGUAGGGCGGGACAUGUGUAAUCCUGUCUGAAUCUGCCAGAACCAUCUGGUAAGGCUAAAUACUUCUGAGAGACCGAUAGUGAACAAGUACCGUGAGGGAAAGGUGAAAAGCACCCUGAAUAAGGGAGUGAAAUAGAUCCUGAAACCAUAUGCUUACAAGCGGUCGGAGCCUUCGGGUGACGGCGUGCCUUUUGCAUAAUGAGCCUACGAGUUACUCCUCGUUAGCAAGGUUAAGUAUUUAAGAUACGUAGCCGAAGCGAAAGCAAGUCUUAAUAGGGCGAUAAAGUUAGCGGGGGUAGACGCGAAACCUGGUGAUCUACCCAUGGUCAGGUUGAAGUUCCGGUAAUACGGAAUGGAGGACCGAACUGAUAUACGUUGAAAAGUGUUCAGAUGAACUGUGGGUAGGGGUGAAAGGCCAAUCAAACCAGGAAAUAGCUCGUACUCCCCGAAAUGCAUUUAGGUGCAGCGUUGAGAAUAUAGUGUCAUAGAGGUAGAGCUACUGAUAGGGCUAGGGGGCUUCACCGCCUACCAAACCCUGACAAACUCCGAAUGCUAUGACAUAUGCUCAGCAGUGAGGGCAUGGGUGCUAAGGUCCAUGUCCGAGAGGGAAAGAACCCAGACCAUCAGCUAAGGUCCCUAAAUAUAUACUAAGUUGUUUUAACGUUGUGUGAUUACUUUGACAGCUAGGAUGUUGGCUUGGAAGCAGCCAUUCAUUUAAAGAGUGCGUAACAGCUCACUAGUCGAGUGAUCGCGCGUGGAUAAUAAUCGGGCAUAAGUAUAUUACCGAAGCUAUGGAUUGUAUAUUAAAUUAUACAGUGGUAGGGGAGCAUUCUGUUCUGCGUUGAAGCAGUACUGUAAGGUAUUGUGGAGUGUACAGAAAAGCAAAUGUAGGCAUAAGUAACGAUAAAGCAGGCGAGAAACCUGCUCACCAAUAGACUAAGGUUUCCUCAGCUACGUUAAUCGACUGAGGGUUAGUCGGGACCUAAGGUUAAUCCGAAAGGAGAUAUCGAUGGAAAACAGGUUAAUAUUCCUGUACUAGUUAAUAUUGCGAUGGGGUGACGGAGAAGUGAAAGGUCUGCGCGGUGACGGAAGUCCGCGUUAAAGGGUGUAGACGUUGAUUCAGUAGGCAAAUCCGCUGAUGAGUUGAACCUGAUAGUACUAAGCGUCUUUUAGACAAUUAGAUAUGACCCUAAUCAUGCUCCCAAGAAAAACCUCUAAGCUUCAGAUAUUAACUACUCGUACCGCAAACCGACACAGGUAGUCAAGUAGAGAAUACUAAGGUGCUCGAGUGAUUCAUGGCUAAGGAACUAGGCAAAAUGGUCUCGUAACUUCGGGAGAAGAGACGCCCAUCUUCGGAUGGGCCGCAGUGAAUAGGCCCAGGCGACUGUUUAUCAAAAACACAGGACUCUGCGAAAUCGAAAGAUGAUGUAUAGGGUCUGACACCUGCCCGGUGCUGGAAGGUUAAGAGGAGGGCUUAUCUUCGGAGAAGGUCUGAAUUGAAGCCCCAGUAAACGGCGGCCGUAACUAUAACGGUCCUAAGGUAGCGAAAUUCCUUGUCGGGUAAGUUCCGACCUGCACGAAUGGUGUAACGAUCUGGGCACUGUCUCGGCCAUGAGCUCGGUGAAAUUGUAGUAUCGGUGAAGAUGCCGAUUACCCGCAACGGGACGGAAAGACCCCGUGCACCUUUACUAUAGGUUCACAUUGA